CUAUCGACAGGCUUAACACAUGCAAGUCGAGGGGCAGCACAGGUAGCAAUACCGGGUGGCGACCGGCGCACGGGUGAGUAACGCGUAUGCAACUUACCUAUCAGAGGGGGAUAACCCGGCGAAAGUCGGACUAAUACCGCAUGAAGCAGGGGCCCCGCAUGGGGAUAUUUGCUAAAGAUUCAUCGCUGAUAGAUAGGCAUGCGUUCCAUUAGGCAGUUGGCGGGGUAACGGCCCACCAAACCGACGAUGGAUAGGGGUUCUGAGAGGAAGGUCCCCCACAUUGGUACUGAGACACGGACCAAACUCCUACGGGAGGCAGCAGUGAGGAAUAUUGGUCAAUGGCCGAGAGGCUGAACCAGCCAAGUCGCGUGAGGGAUGAAGGUUCUAUGGAUCGUAAACCUCUUUUAUAAGGGAAUAAAGUGCGGGACGUGUCCCGUUUUGUAUGUACCUUAUGAAUAAGGAUCGGCUAACUCCGUGCCAGCAGCCGCGGUAAUACGGAGGAUCCGAGCGUUAUCCGGAUUUAUUGGGUUUAAAGGGUGCGUAGGCGGCCUUUUAAGUCAGCGGUGAAAGUCUGUGGCUCAACCAUAGAAUUGCCGUUGAAACUGGGGGGCUUGAGUACGUUUGAGGCAGGCGGAAUGCGUGGUGUAGCGGUGAAAUGCAUAGAUAUCACGCAGAACCCCGAUUGCGAAGGCAGCCUGCCAAGCCAUUACUGACGCUGAUGCACGAAAGCGUGGGGAUCAAACAGGAUUAGAUACCCUGGUAGUCCACGCAGUAAACGAUGAUCACUAGCUGUUUGCGAUACACUGUAAGCGGCACAGCGAAAGCGUUAAGUGAUCCACCUGGGGAGUACGCCGGCAACGGUGAAACUCAAAGGAAUUGACGGGGGCCCGCACAAGCGGAGGAACAUGUGGUUUAAUUCGAUGAUACGCGAGGAACCUUACCCGGGUUUGAACGCAUUCGGACCGAGGUGGAAACACCUUUUCUAGCAAUAGCCGUUUGCGAGGUGCUGCAUGGUUGUCGUCAGCUCGUGCCGUGAGGUGUCGGCUUAAGUGCCAUAACGAGCGCAACCCUUGCCACUAGUUACUAACAGGUAAAGCUGAGGACUCUGGUGGGACUGCCAGCGUAAGCUGCGAGGAAGGCGGGGAUGACGUCAAAUCAGCACGGCCCUUACAUCCGGGGCGACACACGUGUUACAAUGGCGUGGACAAAGGGAAGCCACCUGGCGACAGGGAGCGAAUCCCCAAACCACGUCUCAGUUCGGAUCGGAGUCUGCAACCCGACUCCGUGAAGCUGGAUUCGCUAGUAAUCGCGCAUCAGCCAUGGCGCGGUGAAUACGUUCCCGGGCCUUGUACACACCGCCCGUCAAGCCAUGGGAGCCGGGGGUACCUGAAGUCCGUAACCGCGAGGAUCGGCCUAGGGUAAAACUGGUGACUG
RNAcentral lists this ribosomal RNA (1434 nucleotides) under uncultured organism. Its description in RNAcentral is "SSU rRNA". It matches the Rfam family "Bacterial small subunit ribosomal RNA". The record is from RNAcentral.